UAUGAGGCACAAAGUAAAAGAUCCUGGAGAUUACCGCAACCAGAAUUAGUAUGGCCAAUAACGGGUCUCCUCCUCCAAUGGCGCGUGGGAUCAAUAGUCUUUCUCGGAUCUACCAAGUAUGGGAAAGCUUAAGGCCAAAUCCUACCAACAAGAGCGCAUGAAACAACAUAAGCUAAGGAUCUACAAAGUAUGGGGAAGCUUAAGGCCAAACCCUACUAAUAAGAGAGCAUGGAACAACAUAACUGAAGCCCUCAAUACCUUGUCUCAUGAGUGGGGCAUGCCCCCCAUCUUGAUAGUCUAGUAGGGGCGUGUCCUCUUUCUCUUACUAUUAACUAAGGGAGAUGAGAGAGAGAAAGAGAACUCAAGAUGAGAGAGGACAGAGAGAAACCCUAGGUGGGGUGUGCUCUUAUAUAGGGAGAGAGUAGAGAGAGAAGACAGAGGUGUGUAGAAAAUAUGGGGAGAAGGGCCCCUAUUUGUAGAUUUUUCAUGGGCUAGGGUUUCCUUAGAGUUAACCAUCUUUAUGCCGAUUUGAUCCAGACCAUUGAUCAUAGGAAACUUGUGGGGUGAGAGAUUUGAGUCAUCCAAU
This 586-nucleotide long non-coding RNA is filed under the name Amborella trichopoda. Its description in RNAcentral is "long non-coding RNA (ATRI_LNC003177)". Lineage: Eukaryota; Viridiplantae; Streptophyta; Magnoliopsida; Amborellales; Amborellaceae. The record is from RNAcentral.